This 222-nucleotide ribosomal RNA is filed under the name uncultured bacterium. RNAcentral describes it as "partial 16S ribosomal RNA". It matches the Rfam family "Bacterial small subunit ribosomal RNA", at positions 524 to 742 of the family's 1533-position model. The record is from RNAcentral.
UACGUAGGGGGCAAGCGUUGUCCGGAUUUAUUGGGCGUAAAGAGCGUGUAGGCGGCCAAGCAGGUCCGCUGUGAAAACUCGAGGCUCAACCUCGAGACGUCGGUGGAAACCGUUUGGCUAGAGUCCGGAAGAGGAGAGUGGAAUUCCCGGUGUAGCGGUGAAAUGCGCCAGGAUAUCGGGAAGAACACCCGUGGCGAAGGCGGCUCUCUCGGGACGGUACUG